Molecule: long non-coding RNA, 94 nt
Filed under: Callithrix jacchus (white-tufted-ear marmoset)
Lineage: Eukaryota; Metazoa; Chordata; Mammalia; Primates; Cebidae
Description: lncRNA (ENSCJAG00000086743.1)
Source: RNAcentral
CAAGGAAAAUCUUGUCAGGAGUUUUACACUUUCAGGUGAAAUUACAAUGGGAUAUCACCACACACCUGUUAGAAUGGCUAUUAGAAAAAAGACA